RNAcentral lists this ribosomal RNA (449 nucleotides) under uncultured bacterium. Its description in RNAcentral is "bacterial SSU rRNA". It matches the Rfam family "Bacterial small subunit ribosomal RNA", at positions 355 to 796 of the family's 1533-position model. The record is from RNAcentral.
UGGGGAAUAUUGGACAAUGGGCGCAAGCCUGAUCCAGCAACGCCGCGUGGAGGAUGAAGGUCUUCGGAUCGUAAACUCCUGUCAGACGGGACGAAGGUACGGGGGUAAAUAAUCCUUGUGCUUGACGGUACUGUCAGAGGAAGCCCCGGCUAACUCCGUGCCAGCAGCCGCGGUAAUACGGAGGGGGCGAGCGUUAUUCGGAAUUAUUGGGCGUAAAGGGCGCGUAGGCGGCUUCGUAAGUCAAAGGUGAAAUCCCUCGGCUCAACUGAGGAACUGCCUUUGAAACUGCGAAGCUUGAGUCCGGGAGGGGGUAGCGGAAUUCCCAGUGUAGCGGUGAAAUGCGUAGAUAUUGGGAGGAACACCAGUGGCGAAGGCGGCUACCUGGACCGGAACUGACGCUGAGGCGCGAAAGCGUGGGUAGCAAACAGGAUUAGAUACCCCGGUAGUCC